This 597-nucleotide non-coding RNA is filed under the name Pan troglodytes (chimpanzee). Lineage: Eukaryota; Metazoa; Chordata; Mammalia; Primates; Hominidae. The record is from RNAcentral.
CGUGGGAGGAGGCCAACUCUCGGGGCGCUCCCUAGCCCUGGGUGGGUGGAGCGGGGGAAGCGGAGUACGUUGGACCCGGCUCCGCCCUACCCCACGGGGCCGCCUGGAGAGGUGCUGGGAGCUGGGUGGAGCUUAGAGGAAUUAAACUUUGGCCCUGCGCCUCGUCCAGCCUAGGUUCCACCCUUUUCUGGGAAAGGUCUUACUCUGUGACCCACGCUGGAGUGCAAUGGCACCAUCACAACUUACUGAAGCCUCCACUUCCCGGGCUCAAGUGAUUCUUACACCUCAGCCUCCUGAGUAGCUGAGACCACAGUUCACACCCCGCCACUCCUGAGCACCGCACACCGGCUUCCUCCCAGUCCCUCAUCUGAGAACUCAUGAAGCCACUUGGAAUCCCUCUCUGCUUUGCCUGGCUCAUUCCAUGUCAAUUUCAGAUCUUCGCUUCAGGUCAGCUCCAAGGAGGCUAUCCUUGCCCAUCUUCCUAAAAUAGAGCUCUCAAAACCUGGCUGUUUUCCUUCAGAGCACUGGCCUCCAAUUGCACCGGUAGAUGGCAAAUAACAUGCUUUCUUUCUGUUCCCGGGCUGCGUUCGGACCCCU